CCGGCAUCCAGCGCUCGGUCACCAUCUGCACGGACCGGCCGCCGGCGCCGGCCCAGCUCUACUCCAGCUGCGUCAAGUCGCACUCCAACUCGUCGCUCAGCUCCACCACUUCGUCGUCGGGACACAGCUGGGCGGACCGGGUGCGGGGCAUUACCGCUCCGUCAGCGGCGGCGGCGGCGGCGGGCGUGCCCGCUGGUCCCGGCCCCGGCGCCGGCGUCGGGGCCGGACCCGGCUCCGAUCCGGCUGCAGCCCCGGUCGAAGAUGACGGCGGCGGUUGGGAAACCGUAAAGAGCAGGUCCAGGUCCCGGCUGUCGCCCCUCAACCAAACUGCCAGGAGGGCACCACUGCAGCGGAAGGGCUCGGCCGAGGCGGCGUGCGUGCGCCC
Pollicipes pollicipes is the source of this 385-nucleotide long non-coding RNA. RefSeq lists it as uncharacterized. Lineage: Eukaryota; Metazoa; Arthropoda; Thecostraca; Pollicipedomorpha; Pollicipedidae. The record is from RefSeq and is a predicted model, not a curated record. The transcript is spliced from 3 exons.